RNA transcript from Clarias gariepinus (North African catfish), 1289 nucleotides. It is a transcript of the gene named poly [ADP-ribose] polymerase 2-like, with no coding region annotated. The record is from RefSeq and is a predicted model, not a curated record. The transcript has 5 exons. NCBI's taxonomy places the organism in Eukaryota, Metazoa, Chordata, Actinopteri, Siluriformes, Clariidae.
GUUGAGCUGUAGAGAUCCUGAGGUUGUAUGUGACUCAUGUUGCUGUGUUCUUUGCUAGUUUUCAACCUCCGCCCAUUAUCCACUCUGAAAACGAGCUGAAGGAGAAGAUUACUCUGCUGAAGAUAAAAAUCUAACACACAUCACUCACACACACGUGAAAACACACACCACAUGUGCACACACAUAUUUAUACCUGUUUCCUCAUCUCCUACACCCCCCUCCCCCCAGUAUCAGUGUGAUAUACAGAUCGCAGUAAGGCUGGUCCAGUCCCCAUUCAGUAAUGAACAUCCUGUAGAUAAACACUACAGGGCUUUGAACUGUGUCCUCCAACCUCUCACUCACAAACACACGAGUACGAGGUACAGUAUACAAACACACACACACACACACUGAAAUGUUGCUGCACUUAAUACAAGGUGUCCCUGUUUGCCUGUGGUGUUUAUCCUCAGUGUCCCGCUGGUGUUUAAAUUGAGCUGUAAUGUUUCAGGUGAUUGUGGAAUAACUGCAGUCGACACACGCAGAUACUCAUAAAAAUUACACCAUCACUGUUGUAGACAUCUUCAGUGUAGAGCGAGCUGGGGAAAAGGAACAAUUCCUGUCUUCUCUGCACAACAGGAUGUUGCUGUGGCAUGGUUCUCGUUCAUCUAACUGGGUGGCGAUUCUCAGUCAGGGUUUCCAAGUCACUCCUGCCGAAGCUCCAGUCACUGGAAACAUGGUGAAAAACAUACCGAGUGUAUGAACAUCAGGGACGCCAUUCACCAGGGGCGACCCGAUAUAACAUCACCGCUCCCGUACCGAUCCAAUUCACAGUGCGAUUUUUUCGGUAAAGGGAUUUAUUUUUCUGACAUGUCUUCCAAGUGUGCAAACUACUGUCACCCCAGUUUGGAGAACACCGAGGGACUGCUGUUACUGAGCGAGGUGUGCGACUCCAAGUGAUGUCUCUGUGUGAGCAUAUCUUAGCAACACCUUCACCCAGGUCGCUCUCGGAGACUGUAAUGAGCUUGUAAACACUGAUGACAGUGCUGGUCUUCUGCUUCCCGGAAAAAUGAGCACCAAAGGCCUGUGCCUGACUUCCCCCGACCCCAACAACUCCAUCACACUAGACGGUGCAACGGUUCCGCUCGGUCCCGAAGUGAAAACCGACAGAGAACAGAGGAUAACACACUCCUAUAAUGAAUAUGUGAAAUACAAAAAACAACCAUCCGUUAAACUGAAUCUUGACGGUUUUAUUGCCCCUUAGGUUGACCCCUGGAUGACCCUUAGGAUUUGGUAGGGGGGGCGAGGGUAUG